RNAcentral lists this small RNA (239 nucleotides) under Vigna angularis var. angularis. RNAcentral's name for it is "Non-protein coding transcript". Lineage: Eukaryota; Viridiplantae; Streptophyta; Magnoliopsida; Fabales; Fabaceae. The record is from RNAcentral.
GCACUAUUUAGAUCAUCCCUGUCAAGUAAACUGUGAAGUUUUCGAGAUGUUGUUGAGGAGGUUUCCUUGGAGCAAGAGUUGGAGGAUGUUGAUGAUGCAGUAUAGUAUUUUUAGGAUUUCUAAAUUUAAGUUGAUGUUAUUUUGAAGUACUAUAAGCUGUUUAAGUUUUAAGUUCUGUCCUUUUGUGGAUGAUUGUAAUAUCAACUACUGAACUACUAUUCUACUCUUAUAUGUGGACG